GUGGGGAAUAUUGCACAAUGGGGGAAACCCUGAUGCAGCAACGCCGCGUGAGUGAUGACGGUCUUCGGAUUGUAAAGCUCUGUCUUUAGGGACGAUAAUGACGGUACCUAAGGAGGAAGCCACGGCUAACUACGUGCCAGCAGCCGCGGUAAUACGUAGGUGGCAAGCGUUGUCCGGAUUUACUGGGCGUAAAGGGAGCGUAGGUGGAUAUUUAAGUGGGAUGUGAAAUACCCGGGCUUAACCUGGGUGCUGCAUUCCAAACUGGAUAUCUAGAGUGCAGGAGAGGAAAGUAGAAUUCCUAGUGUAGCGGUGAAAUGCGUAGAGAUUAGGAAGAAUACCAGUGGCGAAGGCGACUUUCUGGACUGUAACUGACACUGAGGCUCGAAAGCGUGGGGAGCAAACAGGAUUAGAAACCCCAGUAGUCC
This 425-nucleotide ribosomal RNA is filed under the name uncultured bacterium. RNAcentral's name for it is "partial 16S ribosomal RNA". It matches the Rfam family "Bacterial small subunit ribosomal RNA", at positions 354 to 796 of the family's 1533-position model. The record is from RNAcentral.